UACAGAGGGUGCAAGCGUUAAUCGGAAUUACUGGGCGUAAAGCGUGCGUAGACGGUCACAUAAGUCGGGUGUGAAAGCCCCGGGCUCAACCUGGGAAUUGCAUUCGAGACUGCGUAGCUAGGGUGCGGAAGAGGGAAGCGGAAUUUCCGGUGUAGCGGUGAAAUGCGUAGAUAUCGGAAGGAACACCAGUGGCGAAAGCGGCUUCCUGGUCCAGCACCGACGUUCAGGCACGAAAGCGUGGGGAGCAAACAGG
This 253-nucleotide ribosomal RNA is filed under the name uncultured bacterium. RNAcentral describes it as "partial 16S ribosomal RNA". It matches the Rfam family "Bacterial small subunit ribosomal RNA", at positions 524 to 776 of the family's 1533-position model. The record is from RNAcentral.